RNAcentral lists this ribosomal RNA (465 nucleotides) under Vreelandella stevensii. Its description in RNAcentral is "partial 16S ribosomal RNA". It matches the Rfam family "Bacterial small subunit ribosomal RNA", at positions 338 to 795 of the family's 1533-position model. The record is from RNAcentral. Lineage: Bacteria; Pseudomonadati; Pseudomonadota; Gammaproteobacteria; Oceanospirillales; Halomonadaceae.
CCUACGGGGGGCUGCAGUGGGGAAUAUUGGACAAUGGGGGGAACCCUGAUCCAGCCAUGCCGCGUGUGUGAAGAAGGCCCUCGGGUUGUAAAGCACUUUCAGUGAGGAAGAACGCCUGGUGGUUAAUACCCAUCAGGAAAGACAUCACUCACAGAAGAAGCACCGGCUAACUCCGUGCCAGCAGCCGCGGUAAUACGGAGGGUGCGAGCGUUAAUCGGAAUUACUGGGCGUAAAGCGCGCGUAGGUGGCUUGAUAAGCCGGUUGUGAAAGCCCCGGGCUCAACCUGGGAACGGCAUCCGGAACUGUCAAGCUAGAGUGCAGGAGAGGAAGGUAGAAUUGCCGGUGUAGCGGUGAAAUGCGUAGAGAUCGGGAGGAAUACCAGUGGCGAAGGCGGCCUUCUGGACUGACACUGACACUGAGGUGCGAAAGCGUGGGUAGCAAACAGGAUUAGAUACCCCAGUAGUC